Regulatory RNA element from Terrisporobacter sp., 218 nucleotides. It matches the Rfam family "T-box leader". Rfam says of the family: Uncharged tRNA acts as the effector for transcription antitermination of genes in the T-box leader family. T-boxes are found upstream of many aminoacyl-tRNA synthetase genes and some amino acid biosynthetic genes usually in Gram-positive bacteria. The anticodon of a specific tRNA base pairs to a specifier sequence within the T-box motif, and the NCCA acceptor tail of the tRNA base pairs to a conserved bulge in the T-box antiterminator hairpin. Lineage: Bacteria; Bacillati; Bacillota; Clostridia; Peptostreptococcales; Peptostreptococcaceae. The record is from Rfam.
UUAAAUACAGUGAAAAGAAGUAGUAAGAUAUUUGAAGUCUUCACAGAGAAGGAGAAAUGGUGAGAGCUCCUAGAAUAGAAUAUUUGAAGCAGUCUUGGAGUAUCAGUCUGGAAAUUAAGUAUAGAUUGACGGUAGUUACGUUAUAGCUAAGGUUUUCCGAAGAUAUCAUACUCAAUAUGAUAAUUAGGGUGGUACCGCGAAUAUACCUCGCCCCUAUA